RNAcentral lists this long non-coding RNA (291 nucleotides) under Musa acuminata (dwarf banana). Its description in RNAcentral is "long non-coding RNA (MACU_LNC004545)". The record is from RNAcentral. Lineage: Eukaryota; Viridiplantae; Streptophyta; Magnoliopsida; Zingiberales; Musaceae.
AAACGAGGAGCGGAGCAACUUGGGUGUAACUUGGCGAAGUACCCAAGCCGCAUGAAGGGAGCCAGCAGAGAAGUUGGAACAUGGAGCAGAGGCACAGUGCUUUCCUUAGAUAGAGGUCAAGGACAUGAACUCUUGCAGAGGCAAGAGUAGGAUCAUGUUGUUCCAUGGGUCCUUCAUUCUGAUGGAGUGGACUCAUCUUGCAUGGUGCCAAAGACGAAGGGAGCUUCUGGGCACAUGUACCUUAUCUCGGAAAAGCAUUUGAUGGAGGAACUAAGGCGACUCAAUUUGCGG